UGAGGAAUAUUGGUCAAUGGGCGAGAGCCUGAACCAGCCAAGUCGCGUGAGGGAAGACGGUCCUAUGGAUUGUAAACCUCUUUUGCCGGGGAGCAAGAAGAUCACGUGUGAUCUCAGGCGAGAGUACCCGGAGAAAAAGCAUCGGCUAACUCCGUGCCAGCAGCCGCGGUAAUACGGAGGAUGCGAGCGUUAUCCGGAUUUAUUGGGUUUAAAGGGUGCGUAGGCGGACUUUUAAGUCAGCGGUAAAAUUGAGGGGCUCAACCCCUUCUCGCCGUUGAAACUGGGAGUCUUGAGUGGGCGAGAAGUAUGCGGAAUGCGUGGUGUAGCGGUGAAAUGCAUAGAUAUCACGCAGAACCCCGAUUGCGAAGGCAGCAUACCGGCGCCCAACUGACGCUGAAGCACGAAAGCGUGGGGAUCAAACAGGAUUAAUACC
RNAcentral lists this ribosomal RNA (433 nucleotides) under uncultured bacterium. Its description in RNAcentral is "bacterial SSU rRNA". It matches the Rfam family "Bacterial small subunit ribosomal RNA", at positions 355 to 786 of the family's 1533-position model. The record is from RNAcentral.